Molecule: non-coding RNA, 729 nt
Organism: Anas platyrhynchos (mallard)
Lineage: Eukaryota; Metazoa; Chordata; Aves; Anseriformes; Anatidae
Source: RefSeq, a predicted model, not a curated record
GGCCAGACAACAGCGCUAGGCAGCUGCUCAGAGCCACUCGACAAAGGCCUCCAGAUUGCAGUUCUUUCUUCAGGUCUUUUAAGUAUUCUUUAGGAAGAAUAUGAGAGAGAUUAAAUUCUGUGCUAUAAAUGGAGGAGUAACUUUAUGAAGCUAACUUAUUACUUGAAGCUUUUCUAUGAAAUUUUCUGGCCUCACCACUAUUUUGUCCUUGGAUUUAGUAGGCCUGUAUCUGAGAGAGCCUGGCUGAGCCCAGGAUCUUACACGUCUCUGCUUGGAUCCUUGAAGAGCUCUCAAUUUAAAUAUGUCAAACAUGCUGAAGGCUUUACUUUUCUCAUUUAAAAGCACAGGAAGUCUACACAAUGAGUUUGAUGCCAUGCGGGGAGUCUGCAACUGAAUACCAAGUGAACAAAAAUCUCUAGAACUCCUCCUUAUCAAACACCCAGUCCUUGUGAAUAAUUUAUCUUUCCCAAAGGGUGAGGCAUUAAAUGGAUCCCCUAGGUCCAAAGAAUUUAGGCAAGAGAGGAACAGAGCCUGUAAAUGCAAUAUGAUUGCAUUUGGAGAAGAUCUAAGCGCUGUGUUUUGACCUGAAGAUAAAAUGUGUCAAAUGAGACCUUUCAGCAUAGAGAUGCUGUGUGGUUUUAAUGAAAUCUGUCAGCUGCGUAUGAAUAGUUAACCUAUCUUUCAUUUUCUUAGCUUAUUAAAAUCAUUAAAAUACAGCAAUAAUUAUGA